Molecule: ribosomal RNA, 390 nt
Filed under: uncultured bacterium
Lineage: Bacteria
Description: bacterial SSU rRNA
Rfam family: Bacterial small subunit ribosomal RNA
Source: RNAcentral
GUAUGGUGCAAGCGUUAUCCGGAUUUACUGGGUGUAAAGGGAGCGUAGACGGAGUGGCAAGUCUGAUGUGAAAACCCGGGGCUCAACCCCGGGACUGCAUUGGAAACUGUCAAUCUAGAGUACCGGAGAGGUAAGCGGAAUUCCUAGUGUAGCGGUGAAAUGCGUAGAUAUUAGGAGGAACACCAGUGGCGAAGGCGGCUUACUGGACGGUAACUGACGUUGAGGCUCGAAAGCGUGGGGAGCAAACAGGAUUAGAUACCCUGGUAGUCCACGCCGUAAACGAUGACUACUAGGUGUCGGGCAGCAAAGCUGUUCGGUGCCGCAGCAAACGCAAUAAGUAGUCCACCUGGGGAGUACGUUCGCAAGAAUGAAACUCAAAGGAAUUGACGG